GUGGAAUAGCUAGAGCACUCAAUAGGUCUUGAUCCUAUCAUAUCCACUGAAGCAUGUAAUUUUCUGAUGCCCACACCUAUAUAAAAUAAUGUGAAACCAGAUUCCCUCCUACCUCAGUUACCUAUUGUUUAGUACAUGGAGAGUGCCCAAUGCAUGCAUCGCAGAAACACUAUAUAGACAUAUUCUUUACUAUGAACCUAUUAGUUUUUUUUUUUUGAACCGGGG
RNAcentral lists this long non-coding RNA (225 nucleotides) under Sorghum bicolor (sorghum). Its description in RNAcentral is "long non-coding RNA (SBIC_LNC005494)". Lineage: Eukaryota; Viridiplantae; Streptophyta; Magnoliopsida; Poales; Poaceae. The record is from RNAcentral.